GGGGGAGAAGCGAGAUAACCUUCUGGUGGGGCUACGUUGGGGUUUGGGGCGGAUUUAGCAGUUCCAUCAGCAAGGGGGCAGGACGGUAUCGGCGUCCCGGCCAUCGCCCUGCGUUUUGCCUUCAUGCCGCGUUUCGCUAUACUGUGUUUUUGGCGCCUUGAGAAGUCUACGUCAGCCCGGCGGACGAGGUAACGCGCCUGCCGGCGUGUCUCCUUGGGCCUUCGGCGCCUCGACCUCAUCUUCAUUCCCGCCAAAACCCAAAACAAAACAAAACAAAACAAAAAAAACAAACAAAAAAAAGAAUAAUAUGAGACUAUUCCGAGUUUGACGGCACAGUUGUGAAGCAGCUAGGAGGAGAGAAAGCUGACGCUCGUUUUGCUUCAAGCGUAUUUCAGACGCCCCCGAAUCAUGUAUCGCUCAGGCACGCUGGUUAGCGCCUGGCUCUGCCGCGGCUCCCGCUAACGCCGAGGUGGCUGGGUGGUGGUGUUACUGCAGGGUAUUUGGCCGUUGAAAGUACCUGUAGUAUGAGAGCAUCGUUUGGGCCUGAAGUGGGCUGGAUCGGUUGAUUCCGCUGAUCGUUUCGCUGCAGAAAUCAUUUCUGCUUUCCAAAACAGUCCCUGAAAUGGCGUUAUCUGUCCUCGCCGGGAGUUUAUUCAGCUACGGUGAUUUCUCCGCCUCUCCAGAGAGCUCAUUUCGAGAAUUCUGGCUGACGGCAUGGAGACCGUUCGAAGGCGUGAUCUCAAGUCUGCGUUGGCGAAACCAUCCAAAAGAAGGGCCCUUGCACAAACUGAGCCCCUGCAGACAGCACAUUUGAUGUCGCGCGCCAUCGUGCCGUGCCUACAUCUUGCACGAAAGGCUGCGUCUCUCUGCUGAGGAUUGCUGCUGGGCCACACGCGUCCUCCGGAGAAAGUAUGAACCAGCUGCGAGCAGGUGGAGAAGUCGCACCACGCUGCAAAGUCUGAAGUCCCUGGACAGUCUGGGAAUGGAGGACACCCUUGCCAGGGUCAUCCCCAGUCCUUCAUAUUGGGGAGGUGGAUGAUAGCUUGGACAGACGCCUCUUUUUCAGCUUUAUCUGCAAAGGCAGAGAGGGUGAAGGACAUCCUGAUGUAUGCCAGUGGGGACACUGUGCUGCAGCUCCCGGCCACUUUUCUGAGACAUCUGCACCCUGAGGUCAAACCCUGCAACUUUCUAUAAGCUGUUUAGGCUAAAUUAACUCCAUGGCA
Molecule: long non-coding RNA, 1223 nt
Filed under: Struthio camelus australis
Lineage: Eukaryota; Metazoa; Chordata; Aves; Struthioniformes; Struthionidae
Description: lncRNA (ENSSCUG00000012123.1)
Source: RNAcentral